This 810-nucleotide long non-coding RNA is filed under the name Setaria viridis. RNAcentral describes it as "long non-coding RNA (SVIR_LNC002923)". Lineage: Eukaryota; Viridiplantae; Streptophyta; Magnoliopsida; Poales; Poaceae. The record is from RNAcentral.
ACGAUGAUGAUGGUGGUGGCUCCGAUGGUGAUGAUGGUUGUUGACGAUCACGAAUAAAUCUGCAAGCGCACGGAUAUACCGAUGUAGCAUUUUACUCAAGAGUAUUCCCAAGGGUAUUGUAUUUCCAAAAGGAAGGUGGGUAGGUCAAAAGAGUUUACUAUGCAUAUGAGUAUAGCAUAGAUGGAUAGAGACAAUACUCAAAGCAAAGGUAAGAUAAUGAUAGAGGAGUAGUGUGACACACAUAGGAAUCAUCUCAAGAUAACUAAGCUAAGGGGGGGGACUAAGAGUUAGCUCUAGGUUCAUAUGUACUUACUAUAUACUUCACAAAUCAUACAAACAUAACAUACAUACUGUUGACGCCAGAUUUUGACACGUAUGGGAUCGGCGUCAAGAGAAGAAAGGAUUGGCUGAUAUGGUGGAUUAAAGAGGUCACGAUAGGGAAUCGGCCGAUUGGUGCUACAGCUUGGAAUCGGCCGAUUGGUGCUACAGUGUUUUGGCGAACGGAGUUGGUGGAGAUCGGCCGAUUCGAAGGCUGGAGCGAUUGGGCUAAUAUGGGCUUAAAGUGGGUCAGAGAAAGGAGAGAGAGAAAGAUUGGCCCAUGGGAGUACAAUAACUAACUCCGAUACGAGUUGUGUUUGUAAAUAUUCAUUUUCGUUUAAAAUUAGAGAUAGAUCCUAGUCGGUUAGGAAAUUAGUUGUAACAGGCUAUAAAUAGCCAUCUUUAGAGAUUUGUAAACAACACAUCAAUCAAUACAACAAUCUACUUUUUCCUCGUACUUUACUUUCAAGUCGGCGACUUCGCCAAUAUUUC